This 329-nucleotide unclassified non-coding RNA is filed under the name soil metagenome. Its description in RNAcentral is "partial contains 5.8S ribosomal RNA, internal transcribed spacer 2, and large subunit ribosomal RNA". The stretch from base 1 to 120 matches the Rfam family "5.8S ribosomal RNA", at positions 35 to 154 of the family's 154-position model. The record is from RNAcentral.
GAUGAAGAACGUAGUGAAAUGCGAUAAGUAAUGUGAAUUGCAGAAUUCAGUGAAUCAUCGAAUCUUUGAACGCACAUUGCGCCCUCUGGUAUUCCGGGGGGCAUGCCUGUUCGAGCGUCAUUAUAACCACUCAAGCUCUCUCUUGGUAUUGGGGUUCGCGGUUUCGCGGCCCCUAAAAUCAGUGGCGGUGCCUGUCGGCUCUACGCGUAGUAAUACUUCUCGCGAUUGAGUUCGAUAGGUCUACUUGCCAGUAACCCCCAAUUUUUACAGGUUGACCUCGGAUCAGGUAGGGAUACCCGCUGAACUUAAGCAUAUCAAUAAGCGGAGGA